GGGAAGCUCGUGGCCGGGACCCUGAGGCGGGAGCGCGGGCUGGGCCGGGCUGGGCUACGCGCACGGGCUCGGCCGCCGCCCCUGCCGAAAACAGCCUUCCAUAGAAGCCAGACGCUGGGCUACAGGAAUGGCUAUGCAAUUGUUCGACGUCCAACAGUUGGGAUAGGCGGAGACCGGCUCCAGUUCAACCAGCUGUCCCAGGCUGAGCUGGAUGAGUUGGCCAGUAAGGCACCAGUCUUAACUUAUGGCCAACCUAAACAAGCCCCACCUGCGGAUUUUAUUCCUGCGCAUGUGGCCUUUGACAAAAAGCUAUUGUAAAAGGGGUUGAGGUCUUGAUUUGAUUCUCAGCUUGGUCGCUGUUGGUGUAAAGAAGAGCUACUGAUAUGUGUAUAUUAAUUUUGUAUCCAGAAACUUUGCUGAAUUCUUUUAUCAGUUCUAGGAGCUUUCUGGAGGAGUCUUUAGGAUUUUCCAGGUACUGAAAUUUGAUGCCUAUUUC
Molecule: small RNA, 496 nt
Filed under: Pongo abelii (Sumatran orangutan)
Lineage: Eukaryota; Metazoa; Chordata; Mammalia; Primates; Hominidae
Description: processed transcript
Source: RNAcentral